Long non-coding RNA from Bombus huntii, 918 nucleotides. RefSeq lists it as uncharacterized. The transcript has 3 exons. The record is from RefSeq and is a predicted model, not a curated record. Lineage: Eukaryota; Metazoa; Arthropoda; Insecta; Hymenoptera; Apidae.
ACUGCAAGAGCGACCGACGAGACAUGAAUAAAAGUAAAAGCAAAGUGAAAAUGGCAAAAUAAUGAAAAAGAAGACUUACGCUUUCCUUUGACUGCAAACGACACUGAAAUUUCUGAGACGGAGAGUCAAUGCCAGGAUCGUCGGUCUUGAGCACACUCGAGGGACUUGUUGCAGCCUCGACACGAUCCCUCGAGAACGUGCACGUUUUGGAUGGACGUUACGGGUCGGCAGUUUCCUCAACGUCAUAAUAUCUACUCUACUGCGACCCGCAGGUUCACCAGACUGCAACUCUCCCUCUUUCUCGUUCACACCGCUGUCUUGCUCCUCACGAUCGUGCAGGUGCGAGGAUAAUCCGCGACGUAGCGGCCGGACAACGGUCAGCGCGGCUGCGCCAGCCGUUUCAACCCUCUCUGCGUCGCGCGACUCAUCGUGCAACCACCCCGACGAAACGAAAGUGAAUGGCCCGUAGCGUGUACGAUCAAAACGCGACACCGCGUUCGAUAAAAGGGACUAUUGGGGAAGAAAUGUCCCGCGUAUAAAUUAUUCAAGAUGGAUUACUUGUUUCUUUCUCUUCAUAAUAAUGGAUGUUGUCAUUUUGAGUAUUUUCAAUGGCAUUUUUUCUUCACGACGCAUACUGAGAUAUUUGCAUCGAUAUGCCGGAAAGAAUUAUUUUUGUACGCAAAUCAUAUUGAAUUGAAGUGAAUUUUUAUUUUCGUACAGGAUAAACAGAUGAAAUAACUACCUAAUAAAAAAUGUAGCUAUAUCUUGAAAUCACAUUAUACUUAUCUAUAAUAAGUAUUAACUUAUUAUAAAUAAUUAGCCAUGUCACUGCGCCACGCCAGAAAAAUUACUGAAAAUUCUCAAUGCGAGAAUUGAUUGUAAAUUUUAAUAAAUAAAAAAAAAUCUUGAAAUCACUAA